CUACGGGACGCAGCAGUGGGGAAUAUUGGACAAUGGGGGAAACCCUGAUCCAGCAAUGCCGCGUGUGUGAAGAAGGCCUGCGGGUUGUAAAGCACUUUCGGUUGGGAGGACUGCUUCUAGCACUAAUAUUGUUGGAAGUUGACGUUACCUUCAGAAGAAGCACCGGCUAACUCCGUGCCAGCAGCCGCGGUAAUACGGAGGGGUGCAAGCGUUAAUCGGAAGUACUGGGCGUAAAGCGCGCGUAGGCGGCUAGAUCAGUCGGGUGUGAAAGCCCCGGGCUUAACCUGGGAACUGCAUCCGAUACUGUCUAGCUUGAGUACAGGAGAGGAGAGUGGAAUUCCACAUGUAGCGGUGAAAUGCGUAGAUAUGUGGAGGAACACCAAUGGCGAAGGCAGCUCUCUGGCCUGAUACUGACGCUGAGGUGCGAAAGCGUGGGGAGCAAACAGGAUUAGAUACCCUUGUAGUC
Molecule: ribosomal RNA, 466 nt
Filed under: uncultured bacterium
Lineage: Bacteria
Description: partial 16S ribosomal RNA
Rfam family: Bacterial small subunit ribosomal RNA
Source: RNAcentral